UCCCCAAGGCAACGAUCCCUAGUGGUUUGAGGGGAUGUUCACCCCCCCGGGAAUUGAGACCCGGUCCAGAUUCCUACGGGAGGCAGCAGUGGGAAUAUUGCACAAUGGGGGAAACCCUGAUGCAGCCAUGCCGCGUGUAUGAAGAAGGCCUUCGGGUUGUAAAGUACUUUCAGUAGGGAGGAAGGCAGUGUCGUUAAUAGCGGCAUUGUUUGACGUUACCUACAGAAGAAGCACCGGCUAACUCCGUGCCAGCAGCCGCGGUAAUACGGAGGGUGCGAGCGUUAAUCGGAAUUACUGGGCGUAAAGCGCAUGCAGGCGGUCUGUUAAGCAAGAUGUGAAAGCCCGGGGCUCAACCUCGGAACAGCAUUUUGAACUGGCAGACUAGAGUCUUGUAGAGGGGGGUAGAAUUUCAGGUGUAGCGGUGAAAUGCGUAGAGAUCUGAAGGAAUACCGGUGGCGAAGGCGGCCCCCUGGACAAAGACUGACGCUCAGAUGCGAAAGCGUGGGGAGCAAACAGGAUUAGAUACCCUGGUAGUCCACGCCGUAAACGAUGUCUACUUGGAGGUUGUGGCCUUGAGCCGUGGCUUUCGGAGCUAACGCGUUAAGUAGACCGCCUGGGGAGUACGGUCGCAAGAUUAAAACUCAAAUGAAUUGACGGGGGCCCGCACAAGCGGUGGAGCAUGUGGUUUAAUUCGAUGCAACGCGAAGAACCUUACCUACUCUUGACAUCCAGAGAACUUUCCAGAGAUGGAUUGGUGCCUUCGGGAACUCUGAGACAGGUGCUGCAUGGCUGUCGUCAGCUCGUGUUGUGAAAUGUUGGGUUAAGUCCCGCAACGAGCGCAACCCUUAUCCUUGUUUGCCAGCACUUCGGGUGGGAACUCCAGGGAGACUGCCGGUGAUAAACCGGAGG
This 909-nucleotide ribosomal RNA is filed under the name Photobacterium leiognathi. RNAcentral's name for it is "bacterial SSU rRNA". It matches the Rfam family "Bacterial small subunit ribosomal RNA", at positions 265 to 1169 of the family's 1533-position model. Lineage: Bacteria; Pseudomonadati; Pseudomonadota; Gammaproteobacteria; Vibrionales; Vibrionaceae. The record is from RNAcentral.